UAGGGUUUGAUUAUGGCUCAGGACGAACGCUGGCGGCAUGCUUAACACAUGCAAGUCGAACGAGAAAGCUUCUUCGGAAGUGAUUAAAGUGGCGCACGGGUGAGUAACGCGUAGACAAUCUGCCCUUCAGUCCGGGACAACUUUCCGAAAGGGGAGCUAAUACCGGAUAACAAUGUUUAACAUAAGUUGAAUAUUUGAAAGCUCCGGCGCUGAUGGAUGAGUCUGCGUCCCAUUAGCUUGUUGGUGCGGUAGUGGCGCACCAAGGCCACGAUGGGUAGCGGGUUUGAGAGGACGAUCCGCCACACUGGAACUGAGACACGGUCCAGACUCCUACGGGAGGCAGCAGUGGGGAAUAUUGCACAAUGGAGGAAACUCUGAUGCAGCAAUGCCGCGUGAGUGAAGAAGGCCCUUGGGUCGUAAAGCUCUUUUAUGGGGGAAGAUGAUGACGGUACCCCUAGGAAUAAGCACCGGCUAACUACGUGCCAGCCGCCGCGGUAAUUCA
RNAcentral lists this ribosomal RNA (502 nucleotides) under uncultured SAR324 cluster bacterium. Its description in RNAcentral is "bacterial SSU rRNA". It matches the Rfam family "Bacterial small subunit ribosomal RNA", at positions 1 to 527 of the family's 1533-position model. The record is from RNAcentral. Lineage: Bacteria; Deltaproteobacteria.